RNA transcript from Triticum dicoccoides, 1624 nucleotides. It is a transcript of the gene named protein FAR1-RELATED SEQUENCE 3-like, with no coding region annotated. The record is from RefSeq and is a predicted model, not a curated record. NCBI's taxonomy places the organism in Eukaryota, Viridiplantae, Streptophyta, Magnoliopsida, Poales, Poaceae. The transcript has 4 exons.
AUCAGAAGAGCAGCCAAUGUACUUAAGAAGCGAGCUGAUGAUGUAAAAAAACUUAGGGCCUUCUUCAAUGAGUUCAGAGCACAUAACAGUAAAUUCUAUUAUGAUGUAGAGGAUGACUCUGAGGGUGUUACGAAGAAUAUAUUCUGGAGUCAUGCUAGCUGCCAAGCAAACUAUGCUGAGUUUGGUGAUGUGGUUACUUUUGAUACAACAUAUAAGUGUAAUUUUUACAAAAUGUCGUUGGCGAUGUUUGUUGGGAGCAACCACCACUUGCAGAAUGUCAUUUUUGGGUUUGCACUCCUCCGUGACGAGACAGGGGAAUCAUUUAAAUGGGCUUUCCAAACUUUCAAAACAUGCAUGGGAGACAAGGAACCUCAUUGCAUACUUACCGAUCAAGAUGUAGCAAUGGAAAACGCUCUUCCGCACGUGUUUCCAAACACGUUGCAUAGGCUAUGCAGAUGGCAUGUAUGGGAAAGGCACAAAGUUGACUUGAAGCCACUGUUUGACUUGCAUGAUGGUUUAAAAGAUAAGCUACUAACAGCAAUAAAUCACCCACUUACCCCUCUAGAGUUUGAGUCUGCAUGGAAGGAUAUGGUGAAUGAAUAUGGCCUUGAGUCAGAUCCUACGAUCAGCAGUUUGUAUGAUCAGCGUGCACGUUGGAUUGCGGCAUACUUCAAAGCUGUUUACUGUGGGAGAAUGACGUCUACGCACCGCAGUGAAAGCAUGAACAGACUUGUGAAAAGACAUCAUGUUAACACUACGACACCUUUGCACGAGUUUGCACGAAAAAUGUACCUAGUCUUGCAAAAGAGAAAAGAAGCAGAAGGCUGAGAGACCAUUGCAUGUCAGGCACGCCCAGCAACAAUAACAAACUACCCUCUGGAAAAUCAGUUGAGCAGGAUCUAUACCCGUGCCGUAUUCAACAAAUACAAAGAUGCAUAUGUUUAUGGAACAUCUUUCCUUACAAAGGAAGUGGAUGCUGGUCGUUUCCUUGUGGUCUAUGGUAGAGAUGGCCCGUCUUUUUCUUGGUCCCAACAUGAGUUCAAAGUGGUUUGUGAUGAAGAAAAAGAAGACUACAGAUGUGAGUGCAUGCAGUGGGAGCACACAGGAUUGUUAUGCCCACACCUUAUUAUAGUGAUGACAAAUGAGCAGAUUCAGAGGCUUCCUAGCAAGUAUGUGCUAAGAAGAUACACAAGGAAUGCACGGAUUGACCCUCCUUACGACAGGAAUGACACUCUCCAAGUUGGAGCCGAUGGGACGCUAGUUAGCAUGACGCACUUUAAUAUGCUCAGGGAGGCUUUUGCCUGUGUUAGAGCAGGUGACAGAUCAACAAUUGCAUCUGUAAGAGUCAUGAAUGUGUUGAAGGAACUUAGGGCGCAGGUCGAGGAUCUGCCUGUUGAUGUAAUGCCCGUGUUUGAUGAAGGAGGUUGCAGUGCUCCAGCUGACCGUGAGAUGAUUAGUUUUAAAGCCCCGCCAGGGCUCUAGAUCAGAAGAAGGAGAAAGACAUGUCGGCGCACGCGGGCCAAAGAAGUGCACAAGAAGAUGCAGCAAAUGUGGCCUUAUGGACGGUCACAACAAGGCGUCAUGCACCAACAAACAACAAAGCAUCGCGACUGGUGGUACCAAA